Molecule: long non-coding RNA, 3211 nt
Filed under: Homo sapiens (human)
Lineage: Eukaryota; Metazoa; Chordata; Mammalia; Primates; Hominidae
Description: HSALNT0107135
Source: RNAcentral
CAGAAAACUUGGCUGUUUAUUCUCCCAGGUUGGUAGUAAAACUAGAAGUUAGGAAUGAGUCCAAGGGUUGGAAACGAAGUUGUGUCUAGAGGCAGGUACACUGGCAUUCUGUUCUCCAUUUUUUUCCCUUCAUCAAGGGCAGAGGAGUGGAAGGUGAGGAAGAAGGUUAGUUAAUGCCUUCUAGUGAAACCAAUGAAGAGAGGGAUGAACAGGAUCACAAAAGUCCUCGGCUCUCCUCGAUGGGCAUUCUGAAGAGUCAAAAGCUGCUGAGCUAGCCACCUUCCCUCUUCCAGGUCUAUCAUUAGUGCCAGUCAUGGAAGUCAGCUUGGAUUUGGGGUCAGAAUUUGACUUUUAGUACAACAUAAUUGUUUCUUGCCAAGAGUGUCAUUUAUUUUAGUCUUAAUCAAGCUUCAUAAAUAAACUUUCUUUUAAGUCUUGCUUGAACAAAUAAACCUUUAGAUUCUUUGAAAACUAUGAUAGAUUGCAUGGUUGGAGUGUGGGCUCUUCCUGAGAAAGAUAAUGAAAAGCUUGCUUUUUUUCCCCCAUGUAUAUCAAAGCACAAAUCUAGAUGUGGCUUCCUAACAAUCAAUAUAUAAAUUGUUAAGACUUGAACCAUAUUUUAUGCAUGUUAGUAUUGAAUAACAAAACAAAAACCACACAAUAAAUAAAAAACAAAACAAAAAAAUCAAUAGUCAUUGUUUAUAUUUGAGUAUUAUACAGAGAAAAAUAGGAGGAAACCAGAUUUUAUUUAUCAAACAUUUUAAUCCUUAUAAUAACCCUGCAACAUGUGUACUAUUAUUCCCAUUUUCAGAUAUAAAAUGUUAAACAAUUUUUCCAAGAAUUCAGACUAGUUAUUUCUGAUCCCAAAGUCUAGUUUUUAUUUAGUGGUUUUUGUUUUGUUACCAUACAGGCAUUGUAGGAGAAAUUUAUCAUGGUCCUACCUACCCCCUGCCCCGACAGGGACGUGGCAAUCACAUAUUUCUGUUUUCCUGUAUUCAUGUUGAACCAUUAAUGGUGGGCAAUAAAGACCCCCAGAGACAUCCAUUUCUAAUCCCUGGAACCUGUGAAUAUGUUAGAUAAUGUUGCUAUGGUGAAUUAGUUUGCUGACAGAAUUAAGGUUGCUAAUCAGCUGACUUUAAAAGAGAUAUUAAAUAUUUGUCUGGAUUACCUGAUUGGGUUUGGUGUAAUCACAAGGUUUUUUUUUUAAGUAGAAGAGAGAGAUAUGACUAUAGACGAAUGUUUAGAGAGAUGCAAUGUGGCUGGCUGUGAAGACAUAGGAAGUGGGCAAUGAGCCAAGAAAUGUGGGAGGCCUUUAGAAGCUGAAAAAGGCAAGGAAAUGAAUUUUCUCCAAGAGCUCCAGAAAAAGAGUAUGGGGAAACCAAGAAACUGAGAAUCAAAGAGGUUAAAUGACUUAAGAAAGAUUUCACCUCUAGUUAGAGGCAGAGACAAAUCUAGAAUUUUUCCUGAUUCUGAGUGCAAUGCACUUUCCUGACCUUCACUCAACCUGAGUUUGAUCUUACAGAGGAAGUCUUUGAAGACCUGCUGGGACAAUUGUUUGUUUCCCACAGAAUUCUGCGGCUAGCUCUAUUUCCUUAAUCCUGAAAUUCCAGCUCAGUACUUAUUUUCCAAACCUGUCACCAUUAACUUGAUUUUCUUCCUUUCCUCUUCCUUGCUCCCCAUCAUAUGUAAACUCUGAUUUAUAUCUGACCAGGAAACACACUCAAAAUAUAUUUCUCAAGUGUUUACCCAAUGGUGCCCCAGGCAAUACCAAUAAUGAUGAGCUAAACAAUCAUAUAUUAUUGUCUGUGAAUAUUUACUUUGUGACAGAGUCCUAAUCCUCUCCCAAAUGGUUAGCAAAUUCACUGAAAUUAUUUACUGGAAGAAUUCUAAUUUUUCAAAUAAUUCUUCUUUAUCUAAGUCCCACAAUUAUCUUCUCUUAUCCAGCUUCCCCCAAGCCCCACUUCAGACCUUACUUACUGAAUUUUUUCUAGCUCUUUAACCUCUCUGUAGUACUUCAUCCCUUAAUGCUUUUGUUCUUACUGAUUAUUUUCUCCUAAAAUAUAUCCAUCAUCCUAUUUGUUUAUACAUUUAUUAUAGAAUGCAUUUUCUAAACACUUGUGUUAGGAAUGAGGCUAGGUGCUGGUGUGGUCAUCAGCAAAGUACACAGUCCAUGAACUCAUAGCAGGUAGGAUACAGACAAAUGAAAUGGCAAUUAUAAAAGCACAUGAAAUAAGUGCAACAAUUAGAUAAGUGUAGAUACGUUGUUGGGAGAAACACCUAAGACGGCCUUUGUGGAGGGAAUCUGUUUGUGUGUGAAAUCAUGGCUUGUCCAUCAUUGUAUUGGCUGGGAUUGAUGAGCAAAUGAUAUGUAAUACACACUCAAUAAAUGUUGGUAGAACUAAUAAGAAUGAUCUGUGGUGAAAUGACUCCUGAGACAGUGACUAUGUUCUCUUUACUUCCAGGUCACUUUGCAUCGUAAACACUUAAUGUCUCUCUAGAUAGAAUUAAUCAGAGAGUGGUAGAAACUAUUAACACCUGGAUACUUCAGUUUUAUAAACUAAAAGCUUUUGAGUUAUUUUACCCAUUGAAUGAUCUUUAUUGCCUGCUCAGACUGAGUAAAUUCAAGCACCUGAAGGAUAAAUGAAAGUUUAUCCUUUAGAUAUAACAGGUUUGCAUCCUGGCUCUGCCAUUUAUGAGUAUUGACUUGAGGUUCAUUAAUUAAGCCCUCUAAGCCCUAGCUGUUAAACGGGCAUAAUCAGGAUACGUUGAAGGAAUUAAAAGUAAUAACAUGCAAAGGAACUGAAACAGUGACUGCUACACAGUAAACACUCAAUAAAUGUUAAUCCUCUUUGCAUCCUCCUCUAAACCUUUGAUAAUAUAUAUUUAGCAUAAUAUUUUGGAAUAUCUGAAAGUAAAUGAAAUUAUGCACAAGUAAUUGAAUUUCUAUUCAUAUUUUUGCAUAGUAGUUACUAUCUGGAUACUAGGCUGAAAAGAAUAAAAAAUUGGAACUCUUUAAGUAAAUGCGCUUUUCUGUCUCUUAUAUACAUCCAGUUGGCUAUUGAAACAACAUGGGAGAAAGGCAGGCAGAAGCAAGAUACCCCAUCCACUUACCUUAUUUUUUCUCUACAUGAAAUAAAUGAUUUAUAUUGAGUUUCUGGAUUUUUAAAGUUACCUUUUUUUGUUUUUUUCCUGGAGUCUCACUCUGUUGCCC